RNAcentral lists this ribosomal RNA (819 nucleotides) under Trechispora sp. Its description in RNAcentral is "partial large subunit ribosomal RNA". It matches the Rfam family "Eukaryotic large subunit ribosomal RNA", at positions 77 to 915 of the family's 3401-position model. The record is from RNAcentral. Lineage: Eukaryota; Fungi; Basidiomycota; Agaricomycetes; Trechisporales; Hydnodontaceae.
CCCCUAGUAACUGCGAGUGAAGCGGGAAAAGCUCAAAUUUGGAAUCUGGCGUCUCCGGCGCCCGAGUUGUAUUCUGGAGAAGCGUUUUCCGUGCCGGACCGUGUACAAGUCCCUUGGAACAGGGCGUCACAGAGGGUGAGAAUCCCGUCUUUGACACGGACCCCCGGUGCUCUGCGAUGCGCUCUCGAAGAGUCGAGUUGUUUGGGAAUGCAGCUCAAAAUGGGUGGUAAAUUCCAUCUAAAGCUAAAUAUUGGCGAGAGACCGAUAGCGAACAAGUACCGUGAGGGAAAGAUGAAAAGCACUUUGGAAAGAGAGUAAAACAGUACGUGAAAUUGUUGAAAGGGAAACGCUUGAAGUCAGUCGCGUCCUCUGGAACUCAGCCUUGCUUCUGCUCGGUGCACUUUCCAGUUCGACGGGCCAGCAUCGGUUUCGAGCGGCGGACACUGGCGGGGGGAAGGUGGCGGCUCCGGCCGCGUUAUAGCCCCUCGUCGCAAACGCCGCCCGGGACCGAGGAAUCCGGCGCAAGCCUGGGAUGCUGGCGUAAUGGCUUUAAACGACCCGUCUUGAAACACGGACCAAGGAGUGCUACGUGCUCGCGAGUGUUUGGGUGGAAAACCCGGACGCGCAAUGAAAGUGAAAGUCGAUACCCCUCGCGGGGGCACCGACGCCCGAGCCUGAUGUUUUCGGAAGGCCUUGCGGUAGAGCGAGUGCGUUGCGACCCGAAAGAUGGUGAACUAUUCCUGAGGAGGGCGAAGCCAGAGGAAACUCUGGUGGAGGCUCGUAGCGGUUCUGACGUGCAAAUCGAUCGCAGGACUUGGG